RNAcentral lists this non-coding RNA (106 nucleotides) under Bacillus sp. (in: firmicutes). RNAcentral's name for it is "Bacillus sp. SAM-I sequence". It matches the Rfam family "SAM riboswitch aptamer (S box leader)". From Rfam's summary of the family: The SAM riboswitch is found upstream of a number of genes which code for proteins involved in methionine or cysteine biosynthesis in Gram-positive bacteria. The SAM riboswitch acts at the level of transcription termination control. Lineage: Bacteria; Bacillati; Bacillota; Bacilli; Caryophanales; Bacillaceae. The record is from RNAcentral.
AACUUAUCCAGAGAGGCGAAGGGAUCUGGCCCUGUGAAGCCCGGCAACCUGCGUUUGGCAAGGUGCUAAAUCCAGCAAAAUGUAAACCCAUUUUGAAAGAUAAGGU